Molecule: signal recognition particle RNA, 96 nt
Filed under: Geodermatophilaceae bacterium
Lineage: Bacteria; Bacillati; Actinomycetota; Actinomycetes; Geodermatophilales; Geodermatophilaceae
Description: signal recognition particle sRNA small type
Rfam family: Bacterial small signal recognition particle RNA
About the family: The signal recognition particle (SRP) is a universally conserved ribonucleoprotein involved in the co-translational targeting of proteins to membranes. Archaeal SRP consists of a 7S RNA and homologues of the eukaryotic SRP19 and SRP54 proteins.
Source: RNAcentral
CCCGACCCCCUGCGCGGCGUCACCCUGUGAACCUCCCCAGGGCCGGAAGGCAGCAAGGAUAAGCGGGCUCUGUCGGGUGUGCGGGGGGUCCCUUCA